UAUUCUAGAGAAUUAAGUCAUUGUAAACGCUGUAUAAAUCAUCUGUCAAGAUGUUAAAGGCCUUAUGAUGAAGUUAUUGUAAAUAUUAUAUAAUUUAAUCGUGAUGUUCUUAAUAAGAAUUCUGUCCUUAUGUAAGAUAUGUACUGAAAAAUAUAUUCAUAAUUUACGUAAUUUGUUUUUGUGUAGGUUUCACCAGCGCUUUGAUCGCUGGGAUAACAUACCUAGAUUGAAUGGAUUUUGAGCAAUUUGCUUGCCUGUGUAAAGUAUUAUUUUUAAUUUUAUUGUCAAGUUAUCACAAUUAAUGUUUGGAAUUCAAAUUAAGUUAUUACAAUUAUUAAGAUUUUACAUUUCUUAAUUAGGUAUAAACUUUGUUUUGUUUGUUAUACUCGCACUAGUAAUCAUUAGUAAAGGUUGUGUGUUGUGUGUUAAUUGAUAGUAGAAUAUACAUGGAAUGGCCAAAUAUGACUGUUUUGUUAUGUCAAGCUGAAUUCUAAAACAAUUGUUUUUGUUGUAAAAAUACACCAUUUUUUUAAAGAAAGGUUUGUUUUUGUGUUUUUAUCCAUCUCCAUAUACUAACCCAAAUUACCAACUAUGAUAUCCUUUUAUCUAGCUAGACUUAUAUAGACUGAUGCCAUAAAAUUCAUAGAAUAAUAGGUACCUAUUUUUCCUCUUAGUGCCGCUCCUUACUCUCAACUAUGGUCCCAUCUGGCAGAAAGCACGAAACUUUGCAUGCCUAUAGAUUUUAGGUUUAUAAGAAUAAAUAGAAGCAUAAUAUGAAAACCAUAAACUAUAAGUUAUAACAAAAUAUUACCAAAGACAAUAUUGUAGAGAAUUUUAUGGAGAGUAUACUUCUAGACAUUUUUAUUGUAGGUUUCACAGUUUAAAUGAAAAUUUAUAAAAACUAAAAAUGGCGAUAUAAAAGUGGGGGGAGGGAUAGAAACAAUAACUUCUUCUUCUUCUAAAUCGGGCUAAGGAGCCGUACUAUCUUAAGGCUGCACCCGACGCCAACGACCUCGCGCGUGUGGCCGGAGCUGAUACCUCUUACCGCACCACCCGCUGCAAAAGAUCGAGCGCGCAGAACUAUACGUUUGAAAUAGAAUUUCACUUGCUCGCGCACAGGUCCGUCUAGCAACACGACUUGCCCCGCACUGACUUUACGGACGAGAGCGGGGUAGUGGUAGGCAGGAACCUAGGCGGGAUUUAGGCUUAUUUUUUUAGCAUUUGAGGCAUAUUUUUAUGAAUUUGCAAAAAGCAAGAAAACCAAAUCAUUAUAAUAUAGUGUUUUGUCAGAAAGAUUGUAAAGUUUCAUAAAUUUUCGAUAAAAGUUGCAGUAUUCAUAAAGAUACAACUGAAAGAAAUAGGGUUAAUUUCAAGAUUUUUUUUCUACACUUUUUUAAAUUAAAAUAGAUUUCCAGAAAAACCACAUCAUUUCCCAUGCCUUGUAGCUUGUUAUUUUUUUUUUCUACUCAAAAGUUGUCAUAUUUAAUAUAAAAAAUGGUUCAGAGUAACUUAUUUUUACGGUAUUUUGAAGGAGGAACCUUAAUGCUCCUUUUUAUUGAACUGGAAAUCAGUGGGGCCCUUGAAUAAUGACACACCCACUCAAACAUAUUACAAAAUAUACUCUUGAACUGAGUCGAUGUUUUAGACUUAUGAUUGCCAAUUUCCGCUUCUACUUACCUACUCUUAUAUAGAUGUGCCGUCAAUAGAAGUAAUAAAUAAAUCGUAUCCAAUUUAAGACGAAGAUUUUCAAAAAUUACCACGUUUCUAUGCCAUCAAAAUUGAUAAAAUAUUCAUAUACUACCAAGGAAUUUGAACUGUGUCAUUUUGUACAUUCUGACAAUAACAAAAAUAUGAGAUUUCUAUCAGUGUUCAUAUUGAUUUUCACUUUGACAAAGUCGCCAUCAGACCUAUCGGAGCGGCCAAGGCGCUCAUAAAUAUUUGAACACGCCUCUACUGUCAAGGCGUUUGAGUACAUUAUUUAUUUAAUCGUAUGGCAUUAUACAUAUUAUAUAGAUACUCGUAUAGAUAAAUCACCUAACUCCAGAGAAUUAACAGUCGUUCAGUUUAAUCAUGUCUUCCAGGGGGCCUCCACUACAACGAAGAUGGGUACUCUUGGAAAAUAUGUCGGACUACUCUGUUCCUCGGCACCACAGUGACAGGCAGGAGUCUCCACCCAGCGGCAACGAUAUUUAUAUAGGACACAGCGACUGUGGCCGGUGCGCAAUCCAUUAAGGUUACACCAUGUCCGCCUCAGCAGUUCAAACUCAUCUAUUUUCUUACCCAGAAUAAUCCCCGAUCCAAACUUUCCAUUCAUAGCAGUAGUCCAUAGUUGCGUCCACUCCCGGUUAGCGUUGUAGUCUUCUUUUUAUCGGGGGUCUUAGCGGGGAUUUAAAUCUUCUCGGAUCAGAGGUGUAGGGUUAGAGCCGGUGUAACUUUAUUUGACAUUCAUAAGCGCAUUGUAAUAUGCCUACUUGAAUAAUAAACUAUCAUAUCUUUAUCUUUUGAAUGAGUCAACGCAAUAUUGUAGGAAGGGUUCCUGGACUUCAGGCGACUGUUUACUAUUUACAGGUUGCGUGAAUUCAUUAUGUAUUUGUUAGAGUGCAUGAUGUUCGGAGUGCACCUCGGCUGUUCCGAUAUAUCUGAUGGCGACUUUGCGAAAUGGUGCAGAAAUCAAAUUCCUUGAGUAAUGUUAUAUACUUGCGGGCCUACCGCGAACCACGAUCGACGUGGUGCCUCCCUGUCACACUAACGUACGAAUUUAUAAGUGCAAUAGAGAGGCAACAUAUCGAACGUGGUUCGCAGUAGGCCCUCAAUGAUUACAUAAGUACGGCACAGAGGCGGGGUGGUUAGUGACCCCAUACGGGUUUUUAGACAGACACCCAAAGGAAAAUUGAGCAAGCUAAGCUCGAUGUUUCUCUGCAAGAUAGAAUUUGACUAGCCAGGUUUCUUGAAUUCGGUUAAUGAAUAUGUAUAUCUUAAAAUGAGACUGAGUACAAAACACGGAAAAAGUACCUUAGGUUUCCUAAAACCUCAUACAAUUUUAUGAUCCUACAUUUUCCUGUACAGAAUAAUUCAUGUUUAGUUCCCACUAUGCUUCUGUCUCGUUAUGAAAUUAAUUGCGAUGGUAACGCCAUUUUGUUUUCAAAGACUGAUUGUCCUAACCACUUACAAACACAUUGAUGCGUGUUCAGAUAGGUCGGGCGCACAUGACACUAAAAUGAUUUCCGUUGUAUGACGUGGCCACCCUGUACCUUUACUAAGAGUCCAGGGGAAAAACGAUGACAUAUUUUACGCCAUAUUGACACAAUAUAAUAUACCAGACUUUUAAUUUAAAAAUUUCGGGGACGGUGUCAAAAUUUACCUACAUAUUUCCUAAGUUUUCAAUAGUAAUAGUUGCUUGACAAUACCAUUAUGUAAAUACCAUAAAUCCAAUUAAAAUUAACACUUGUUGUUUUUACUCAUGAGUUUUCAUAUAAAGCCGUGAUCGCUCCGAGCAAGACCAGUUAUAAUAUAGCCGUAAAGCUGAUCACAUACUAUCAUGACGUCGCCUCUUAUUUGUGCCUUCUGCGUGGCUACAUUCGCGCACCUUAUCGCGAGUCAACCAGUAAACGAAAUUCAUAAAAGGAAAAUGAACGCGAGUGAAGAAAUAAAUAAAAAUAACCAGUAUAAAACUGCGCCAAGCGUUGGUGUGCCUAAUCGUAUAAAUGAAGAAUUUGAUAAAAAUGCAACGCAAAUUAACUCACUUGAACCAGACAAAAUAAUUCACAGUGAUUUAGAAACAGUUUUACCGAGUGGAAACAUAGUGCGCACAACACAAAUAGCUAAAAAACCGUACAGAAAUGGACAACGAAGAGUGCGAAGACAUAUUUUUACAACUAAAUGUCCUUCAAAUAAGAUAGCAAUUGGAUCAGAGUGUUUCACGUGUAAAGAAAUAAACUACGAAGAUGAUCGAUGUACUUGAACUAUGAUUGAACCAGCGACGGAUUUUCAAUAUUGAUUCUUGGAAGAAGGGUUGCCGUCAUCGAUAUAUAGAUACAUCGACUAUAGGAUGAAGCCAAAUUUAUUUAUUUUAUUGAAUAAGCGAAUGCUCAAUAGGUUAACUAAGUAGUUCCGAUAGUUUUAACAAGCUGGCUGACAGAGACAAGGCGAAACAUUUUACGCUU
Molecule: long non-coding RNA, 4163 nt
Organism: Cydia pomonella (codling moth)
Lineage: Eukaryota; Metazoa; Arthropoda; Insecta; Lepidoptera; Tortricidae
Exons: 2
Source: RefSeq, a predicted model, not a curated record